GAGAGCGUAGUUUAACUGGAUAAAAUAUCGGUCUACGAAACCGAAGAGGUGGGGGUUCAAGUCCCUCCGCUCUCGUCA
RNAcentral lists this transfer RNA (78 nucleotides) under Allocoleopsis franciscana PCC 7113. Its description in RNAcentral is "Microcoleus sp. PCC 7113 tRNA-Arg". It matches the Rfam family "tRNA". From Rfam's summary of the family: Transfer RNA (tRNA) molecules are approximately 80 nucleotides in length. The record is from RNAcentral. Lineage: Bacteria; Bacillati; Cyanobacteriota; Cyanophyceae; Coleofasciculales; Coleofasciculaceae.